Colossoma macropomum (tambaqui) is the source of this 417-nucleotide long non-coding RNA. RefSeq lists it as uncharacterized. NCBI's taxonomy places the organism in Eukaryota, Metazoa, Chordata, Actinopteri, Characiformes, Serrasalmidae. The record is from RefSeq and is a predicted model, not a curated record. The transcript has 3 exons.
GUGUUGAUGUACCAUGGUUGUGUAAAAGGGUUUAGUUUGGAGCACAAAGAGGUUUGCUUAGCAGGCUCGAGAGUUGUACCUGGAGGAGAGGAGGGUCAUUAGAAGAACCUCUCAGAAGAAAACCUGGAGAGAAGCCAGGAGAGUGGAGGAGGGAAGAGAGACAAAACUAGCUGACAUGGGGCAUAACUUAAUUUUCACGCUGCUGGGGCAGAUGGGAAAGGUAAUGUGGCAUGACAGCUCUUGGAGACUUCUUGGAGACUGUGCCAUGACCUCAGAGAGGGUGUGAACAGACUCUACUCUUUGGGCUUUAAGUGGCGCUCCAGAACAUUCUCCUUGGGCACCAUAUAAGGUGGAACGGGAGGUUUCAAACGAGAAGCUGGAGAAUGAGAAGCGACUCGGCUAUAGUGAAAGGUUAAA